RNAcentral lists this ribosomal RNA (1950 nucleotides) under Triticum aestivum (bread wheat). RNAcentral's name for it is "partial small subunit ribosomal RNA". Lineage: Eukaryota; Viridiplantae; Streptophyta; Magnoliopsida; Poales; Poaceae. The record is from RNAcentral.
AUGGCGAUUCGGCGCCGCCUGCCCUGCCUCCCCGCCGUCGCCGUGUCCACCAGACGCUCGACCGCGAGCCUCGCCGUCUCCCAUGGUGGGACCGGCGCGAGGCCCUCGACGGCCGUCCUGGCCGCCGCCGCGACGGCAGCCGCGGCGGCGGGCCGCGCCUCCGAGUGCCAGUCGCUCCUCCUCCGCAUGUCGCGCCGCCGCGGGGCCUCCCGCCUCGACAUCGUGUCCUCCCUCCUCGCCUCCUCCCCCACCCCGCAGCCGCAGGUGUUCGACCUCCUCAUCCGCACCUACACCCAGUCCCGCAAGCCCCGGGAGGCAUUCGAGGCCUUCCGCCUCCUCCUCGACCGCCGCAUCCCCAUCCCCGCCGCCGCAUCAAACGCGCUCCUAGCCGCGCUCUCCCGCGCCGGCUGGCCCCACCUCACAGCGGACGCCUACCGCCUCGUCCUGUCCUCCGACUCCGAGGUAAACACCUACACGCUUAACAUCAUGGUCCACAGCUACUGUAAAGCCCUACAGUUCGAUAAGGUUGAUGCCGUAAUCUCCGAGAUGGAGAAGAGAUGCGUGUUUCCGGAUGUGGUAACCCAUAAUGUGAUGAUUGAUGCUAGAUUUCGUGCUGGGGAUGUUGAGGCGGCGAUGGCAGUGGUCGAUUCGAUGGUUAGUCAGGGGAUAAAGCCAGGAAUCUUGACGUAUAAUGCAGUGUUGAAGGGGUUGUGUAGGAAUGGAAAGUGGGAUAAAGCAAGGGAGGUGUUCAGGGCAAUGAACGAGUGUGGGGUGGCGCCCGAUGUUCGGAGCUUCAACAUGUUGAUUGGGGGAUUCUGUAGAGUUAAGGAGCCUGAUGAGGCGAUGAAAUUUUACAAGGAGAUGCGACGGCGUGGAGUCACGCCAGAUAUUGUGAGCUUUAGUUGCCUGAUUGGGUUGUUUGCAAGGAGGGGGAAGAUGGACCGUACGGCGGCGUACUUGAGGGAGAUGAGAGAGUUCGGAUUGAUGCCUGAUGGUGUGAUUUACACAAUGGUCAUUGGUGGUUAUUGCAGGGCUGGGUCAAUGUUGGAGGCGCUGAGAGUUAGGGAUGAGAUGGUUGGCCGUGGAUGUUUGCCAGAUGUGGUAACUUACAAUACCUUGCUGAAUGGGCUUUGUAAAGAGCGUAGGUUGUCUGAUGCAGAGGAGCUUUUGACUGAGAUGAGGGAGAGAGGGGUUCCACCAGAUUUAUGCACCUUCACAACUUUAAUUCAUGGGUAUUGUAGGGAGGGUAACAUAGAGAAGGCAUUGCAACUAUUUGAAACAAUGCUGCAUGAGCGUUUAAUGCCAGACAUUGUGACAUACAACACUUUGAUUGAUGGAAUGUGCAGACAAGGUGAUCUGGGCAAAGCUAAUGAGCUAUGGGAUGAUAUGCAUUCUCGAGAAAUCUUCCCCAACCACAUUACCUACAGCAUCCUGAUAGACAGCCACUGUGAGAAGGGACAAGUGGAUGAUGCAUUUGGGUUUUUGGAUGAAAUGAUAAACAAGGGGAUUGUGCCAAACAUCAUGACCUAUAAUUCCAUCAUUAAGGGUUACUGCCGGUCUGGAAAUGUAUUGAAGGGGCAACAAUUUUUGCAGAAGAUGAGGGAUGCCAAGGUGUUGCCUGAUUUAAUUACUUACAACACCCUAAUCCAUGGUUAUGUUAAAGAAGAGAAGAUGCAUGAAACUUUUAAUUUGCUUAACAUGAUGGAGAAUGAAAAGGUUCAACCCGACACUGUGACGUAUAAUAUGAUUAUAAAUGGAUUUUCUGUACAUGGUAAUAUGCAAGAAGCUGAUUGGGUUUACAAGAAAAUGGGUGCUAGAGGAAUUGAACCAGACAGAUAUACAUACAUGUCCAUGAUAAAUGGUCAUGUUGCAGCUGGGAACUCGAAGGAGUCAUUUCAACUUCAUGAUGAAAUGCUUCAGAAAGGGUUUGCUCCUGAUGACAAAUUCUGA